Molecule: long non-coding RNA, 1912 nt
Organism: Camelus dromedarius (Arabian camel)
Lineage: Eukaryota; Metazoa; Chordata; Mammalia; Artiodactyla; Camelidae
Exons: 5
Source: RefSeq, a predicted model, not a curated record
CUGUAGGCAGUUGGCAUACUCCAUAAAUUUUCUAAGCAUAUUCGAGAGCAUACACUUUUUUUUGCUCAUAACAUUAGGAAAAUUGGGGGCAUGACAAUAUAUUCUGAAGACCUGACAGCCCUCCAAUCCACCCCAAUCUUUCUAAUGACUUCUAGCAAUGCACCAUACUUAACCUGUCCCCUACUGGCCAACAUUUCCAUUCAACUCCAGGAUUUUGCCAUUAUAACACAUAGACUCCCUGGCACUUGGCCAAGUAUAUUCAUAGGAUACAGUCCUAGAAUUGGGAUGUCUGAGUCAGAGGAUAUGUGCAUUUUUAAUUUCUGUAGCUACUGCCCAGUACCCUCCACAAAGGUGGCAUCAGCCACACACCCAUCAGCAAUACACACGUGAGGGUACCUGCUUCCAUCACCCUCACCCACCCUGGCAAGGACGCAGCACGUCGGGGGAAGCAAAUCCCAAAUUCAGGUAAGUGGACUUUCCAUGUGGGCCUGAGUAGGGGUGGACACAGCCUCCAAGGUUGUCCCUUUAGCCUGUGGAGGCGCUAAGCCAUCCAGGGUUCUCAUUUGGGUCUAAUAAACAAAGGCAGGGCUUGGGGAGAUGAGCCAGAACCAUGCUGCGAGAUGCCUUAUGCAGCUCAGUAUUUAUUUCUUCAGUGCAGUUAGAACUUAAAUAUGGUCAAAACAUAUUCUUCUUUUAAUUUACACAAACAAAUAUGUUCCCAGGCUGACACCUCUGGUGCCAAGUUUCUAGGGGAAAUGAAAUUCUACUAUGAGAUUAUAAACCACUAGAGAAAAGAUGAGGAUGGAAAAGCCGCCGCCGUCAGCUUCGCGCGUCCGAGCGGGGCUGCUGAGAGAUGUUUCAGAACCGGGCUGCUGCUUCUCAGUCUCUUUCUGUUUUUGUUGCAGAUAAACCUGCCAGUAAUUUUAGCAAAUGAAACCUGGAAUGCCUAAAGGCCAGAGGAUGGAAAACGCUCCGGUUUUGAUAAAAGGAGGUCUGCUCGGUUUGGACUCCUCCGUCCUGCUAGUCAGGAGACGCAAAGAUUUAUCCAGAGAGGGGCUGAUGAACUGAGGAAAGAGAAAUGGGGCCAAUGUUGCACUCAAUAACUAGUUCAAGCGCCCAAUAGCCACAUGGGGCUAGUGGCCACCACACUGGACAGCGCAGAGCGCGACCGUUUUGAUGACUGCAGAAGGUCCUGUGCCAUUGACCAGUGCCGUUCCAGAGAUUUCACAGGACCUUGAACUUCCCCGGGCCUCGAUGUUCUCACCUGUAAAACGGGCAUAAUGUGACAUCAACUAACUCAACAAAUCUUUAUUAUGGGAGCACAGUGGCAAAAAGGACCUAGUCUCAUGGAACUAGACACUUGGAGGAUCUCCACACUUUCCAACGACUGAGUAUCCAGCUCUGCCGGACCCACAGAAUAUUUUCACUUAACUGUGUGCUCAUAUUUCCAUGAACCCCUGAGUCAGUGGUGACACAUGAAUGACACUCGACAAAUAGUCAUUGACGGACCAACCAAAGCUGCCAUCACCUCUGACUGGGCCUCCAUCCGAGACUGCAGAAAUCCUCUGUAGCCACCGUGACCUCCAGUUCCCAUUCAGACAGGCUAGUAUCCGUGAUGUCACACGACAGAAGGUGUUUCCAGAGAAAAACUGGCCAAGAGGCUGGCGGACAGGAUCGGGUGUGUUUUUUCUUUAAUUGUUGUACCUGUUCUGUCUGUUCUUUCUUGGCUCGGUUCACACACACACACACCCCACCCCAGCACCAGCUCAGGAAAAAACAAAACCAAAACAAAACAUUACGGCAGAGGUUGAGCCAAGAAAGCUGGCUGGUUCCCUCUCUGCUUGUAAUUAAUGCUGAAAAUGUUCAUGACUUGCCUUGGCCACAGAGGUAAUAAUAAAAUUAUGCAGUCUGA